RNAcentral lists this ribosomal RNA (468 nucleotides) under uncultured bacterium. Its description in RNAcentral is "partial 16S ribosomal RNA". It matches the Rfam family "Bacterial small subunit ribosomal RNA", at positions 28 to 507 of the family's 1533-position model. The record is from RNAcentral.
GACGAACGCUGGCGGCGUGCUUAACACAUGCAAGUCGAACGGAAAGGCCCUGCUUUUGUGGGGUGCUCGAGUGGCGAACGGGUGAGUAACACGUGAGUAACCUGCCCUUGACUUUGGGAUAACUUCAGGAAACUGGGGCUAAUACCGGAUAGGAGCUCCUGCUGCAUGGUGGGGGUUGGAAAGUUUCGGCGGUUGGGGAUGGACUCGCGGCUUAUCAGCUUGUUGGUGGGGUAGUGGCUUACCAAGGCUUUGACGGGUAGCCGGCCUGAGAGGGUGACCGGCCACAUUGGGACUGAGAUACGGCCCAGGCUCCUACGGGAGGCAGCAGUGGGGAAUAUUGCACAAUGGGCGGAAGCCUGAUGCAGCAACGCCGCGUGCGGGAUGACGGCCUUCGGGUUGUAAACCGCUUUCGCCUGUGGCGAAGCGUGAGUGACGGUAAUGGGUAAAGAAGCACCGGCUAACUACGUG